Molecule: transfer RNA, 50 nt
Filed under: Tetraphyllum roseum
Lineage: Eukaryota; Viridiplantae; Streptophyta; Magnoliopsida; Lamiales; Gesneriaceae
Description: partial tRNA-Leu
Source: RNAcentral
ANAAUCCGUCGACUUUAAAANUCGUGAGGGUUCAAGUCCCUCUAUCCCCA